UCCCGCGUCAGACCGCGAUUCCUUGGGGGGGAGGAGCCAACUCCUUAAAGGAACAGUGGAGCGGAGCCAGUUCCGCCCCCCUGUGUUGGAGAGUAGUGGAUUGUUGAAACUCUCAUAGAGGAAACCUGGAAGAGGACUGGAGGGCAGAAGAGGGAACCCCUGAAUGGAUUGGGGUUUAAAAUAAAUGAGAAAAAAUACUUCCUAAUUCCAGCGAAGGGGUUCAGGGAUAGAUUGGAGCGUUUCUCCCACCACUUCCUGAGGGAAGGUAAAGUGGUUGGAGCCGAGGGAACUUGUGUUUCGUCUCCGCUACCCCAGCGGUUCCACUCGUUCCCCUACUACACACACUUGCCUUUCCCUCUCUUUUCAAAGGAUCAACACUUUCCCACAAGUCUGGCUGCGAGGUCACAUCGUUCAUCAUCCUCUACACUGGAGGUGGAGGGGUGUCUUUGGCAGACACACAUCUGGAGGAGGAGGAGGUACGGGGCGACCUCCCAUCCACGAUGGGGGCAGGGCGGAGAGUGAGAGCUAUUCCGGAGGCUGAGGCAGGAGGAUUACCCCGAGUUCAAGUCCAACCUGACCCACAUAGUGAGCACCAAGCCAGCCCAGGACUACAUAGCAAAACCCAGUCAAAAAGAAAAUUAUUCAAACGUGGUUAAGAGUUCUGGCUGCUCUUCCAGAGGACCUGGGUUCAAUUUCCAGCACCCACAUGGCAGCUCACAGUGGUCUUUAACUCCAGUUCCAGGUGAUCUGACAUCUUCAAAGACAUACAUGUAAGUAAAACACCAGUGCGCAUUAAAUACAUCUAAAAAAUUAUUCGAAUAAAAAGUCUGUCUACCUUUGCAGGCCUGUGCAUGCAAACAAGUGACCUGGGUCCCUUCUCUGGUGUCGGUACUUGUGCUGGCUGGUUUGCUGUCAGCUAGACACAAGCUAGAGUCAUCAGAGAGGAAGGAGCCUCUGUUGAGGAAAUGCCUCCCUGAGAUCCAGCUGUAGGGCACUUCCUCAAUUAGUGAUCAAUGGAGGAAGCCCAGCCCAUUGUGGGCAGUGCCAUCCUUGGGCCCCGUGGUCCUGGAUUUUAUAAGAAAGCAGGCUGAGCAAGCACGGAGAGCAUUGCAGUAAGCAGCACCCCUCCAUGGCCGCUGCGUCAGCUCCUGCCUCCAGGUUGCUGUCCUGCUUGAGUUCCAGUCCUGACUUCCUUUGGUGAUGAACAGCGAUGUGGAAGUGUGAGCUGAAUAAACCCUUUCCUCCAGA
Rattus norvegicus (Norway rat) is the source of this 1248-nucleotide non-coding RNA. NCBI's taxonomy places the organism in Eukaryota, Metazoa, Chordata, Mammalia, Rodentia, Muridae. The record is from RefSeq and is a predicted model, not a curated record.